GACCACGUAGCUCAGUUGGCAGAGCAUUGGACUAGUAUCCCAAAGGUCGCGGGUUCGACUCCCACCGUGGCCA
Non-coding RNA from Paramuricea clavata, 73 nucleotides. NCBI's taxonomy places the organism in Eukaryota, Metazoa, Cnidaria, Anthozoa, Malacalcyonacea, Plexauridae. The record is from the annotation of a GenBank genome assembly.